UGGGGAUAUUGCACAAUGGGGGGAAACCCGUGAUGCAGCGACGCCGCGUGGAGGAAGAAGGUUUUCGGUAUUGUAAACUCCUGUCGUUAGGGACGAUAAUGACGGUACCUAACAAGAAAGCACCGGCUAACUACGUGCCAGCAGCCGCGGUAAUACGGAGGGUGCAAGCGUUAAUCGGAAUAACUGGGCGUAAAGGGCAUGCAGGCGGUUCAUCAAGUAGGAUGUGAAAUCCCCGGGCUCAACCUGGGAACAGCAUACUAAACUGGUGGACUAGAGUAUUGCAGGGGGAGACGGAAUUCCAGGUGUAGCGGUGGAAUGCGUAGAUAUCUGGAAGAACACCAAAGGCGA
Molecule: ribosomal RNA, 348 nt
Filed under: uncultured Succinivibrio sp.
Lineage: Bacteria; Pseudomonadati; Pseudomonadota; Gammaproteobacteria; Aeromonadales; Succinivibrionaceae
Description: bacterial SSU rRNA
Rfam family: Bacterial small subunit ribosomal RNA
Source: RNAcentral